GUGGAUCAGAUUGAGAUGAGAAGUGCAGAACAAGUAGUGGAUGAGUUAAUCUCGAGUAGUUUGGUGAUACCUUUCGAUAAUUCUAUUUACAAAAUUCAUGAUCUUGUGCAUGACUUUUGUUAUAUAAAAGGUAGAAAGGAAAACUUGUUUCACUUCAUAGAAGGUUCAAAAGCUCUGUCUUCGGAUCUUAUGCCACGUGGAAUCAUCAUUCAUUCUAAUAGACAUGUAUUUCCUCUCGAUGACAGUUUUGUGGUGUUUGAUCGUGAAAAGAAGAAUCCUUAUGUUAAACACCU
Molecule: unclassified non-coding RNA, 293 nt
Filed under: Hevea brasiliensis (rubber tree)
Lineage: Eukaryota; Viridiplantae; Streptophyta; Magnoliopsida; Malpighiales; Euphorbiaceae
Source: RNAcentral